UGCCCCGAGCAGCGACGACGUCUCGAGCAAGCCCCUUCAGUUGUUGGCUCAAGCGCUCCACGCCUUGGCCGACGUCGGUUUCCUGUGCUGAAUUCCUAGCGGAUGGCAAUCUUUCGUCCACCAACGUCCCGUACUCCUCCCAACGUCGCGGCUCCUCAAGGGGACGCGGCGCGGGGAGGACACCGUAGCCCCCUUCGUGUCUCGCAGCCCACGCAGCACGCCCCGCGCGGGCGAGUGCCGGGGCCGUCGAACCACGAAGUCGUGCUCGAUCUCUCGGAUGCGGAAAACCAAGCGGCUACGAGGCCACGGCCUCUACUGCCCCUUCGAAGAGCGUCACACGCUCCCUGCGGACGACUGCCGGCCCGGUCUUGCCCGGGAGCCCCAGCGGCUCCCGGGUCAUGCCCGGCCGGCGUCGACGAGGAAUGCUACCUGGUUGAUCCUGCCAGUAGUCAU
RNAcentral lists this unclassified non-coding RNA (453 nucleotides) under Stachys persica. Its description in RNAcentral is "partial contains external transcribed spacer and small subunit ribosomal RNA". The record is from RNAcentral. Lineage: Eukaryota; Viridiplantae; Streptophyta; Magnoliopsida; Lamiales; Lamiaceae.